RNAcentral lists this ribosomal RNA (515 nucleotides) under uncultured bacterium. RNAcentral describes it as "partial 16S ribosomal RNA". It matches the Rfam family "Bacterial small subunit ribosomal RNA", at positions 28 to 523 of the family's 1533-position model. The record is from RNAcentral.
GAUGAACGCUGGCGGCGUGCCUAAUACAUGCAAGUCGAGCGAAUGGAUUAAGAGCUUGCUCUUAUGAAGUUAGCGGCGGACGGGUGAGUAACACGUGGGUAACCUGCCCAUAAGACUAGGAUAACUCCGGGAAACCGAGGCUAAUACCGGAUAAUAUUUUGAACUGCAUGGUUCAAAAUUGAAAGGCGGCUUCGGCUGUCACUUAUGGAUGGACCAGCGUCGCAUUAGCUAGUUGGUGAGGUAACGGCUCACCAAGGCAACGAUGCGUAGCCGACCUGAGAGGGUGAUCGGCCACACUGGGACUGAGACACGGCCCAGACUCCUACGGGAGGCAGCAGUAGGGAAUCUUCCGCAAUGGACGAAAGUCUGACGGAGCAACGCCGCGUGAGUGAUGAAGGCUUUCGGGUCGUAAAACUCUGUUGUUAGGGAAGAACAAGUGCUAGUUGAAUAAGCUGGCACCUUGACGGUACCUAACCAGAAAGCCACGGCUAACUACGUGCCAGCCGCCGCCGUAA